GUGGGGAAUAUUGGACAAUGGGCGAAAGCCUGAUCCAGCCAUGCCGCGUGUGUGAAGAAGGUCUUCGGAUUGUAAAGCACUUUAAGUUGGGAGGAAGGGCAGUAAGUUAAUACCUUGCUGUUUUGACGUUACCGACAGAAUAAGCACCGGCUAACUUCGUGCCAGCAGCCGCGGUAAUAUGAAGGGUGCAAGCGUUAAUCGGAAUUACUGGGCGUAAAGCGCGCGUAGGUGGUUUUGUAAGUUGGAGGUGAAAUCCCCGGGCUCAACCUGGGAACUGGCUCCAAAACUGGAUGACUAGAGUACGGUAGAGGGUAGUGGAAUUUCCUGUGUAGCGGUGAAAUGCGUAGAUAUAGGAAGGAACACCAGUGGCGAAGGCGACUACCUGGACUGAUACUGACACUGAGGUGCGAAAGCGUGGGAGCAAACAGGAUUAGAUACCCUGGUAGUCC
This 449-nucleotide ribosomal RNA is filed under the name uncultured bacterium. RNAcentral's name for it is "partial 16S ribosomal RNA". It matches the Rfam family "Bacterial small subunit ribosomal RNA", at positions 354 to 796 of the family's 1533-position model. The record is from RNAcentral.